RNAcentral lists this long non-coding RNA (2106 nucleotides) under Gallus gallus (chicken). Its description in RNAcentral is "lncRNA (ENSGALG00000049957.2)". The record is from RNAcentral. Lineage: Eukaryota; Metazoa; Chordata; Aves; Galliformes; Phasianidae.
UCCUGCUAAGCUGGUCUACCCCAGGCUGCUGUGGAACUGUGAAUCUCUUGCAUUUAUCAGCAUUAAACAAAAGCAAUAAGCUCCUAGUGGUGCCGUGAAGGGCUUUUCUUUCCUGGGUAGUAAAUCUGCAGUAACUCUCUCUUACAGUUUUAUUGAGGGUUAUCAAGUGUUUAUUCAAAAGGCAUUUCCGUGCAUUCAACGUUCUUCUAAUUGGGCAGUGACUUGUAACAUCCUUCCCAGACAGACUAUUAUUGCUGUGGUAAAAUUCUUUGUGUUUAGGCCAUAGAGUGUCCAUGUUGCUAACUUGCUGGGUGGAGAGGAAGCAGGGUGCUGUCAGCAUGUGGUUUCUUCCAUGUGGAGUCCAACUUUGGAAGAAGAAUCUGGGCUCAGCAUGGAAAUGGUCAAUAAUCAGAGUGGUUUGGAAUGAAAUCCCUUUGUAGGGACAUUUGGAAACGUGGAGAGGGAAGUGGGAGAGGGGUAAGCUUGGAGGUUGGCUUGGUUUAUUAGGGGAAAAGUGUUGGUUUUUUUUUCUCCUGGUUGUUGUGAUGAAGAAAUCAGGAAUGAGAUGGACAAAAAUAAGGGAUGGAAGAAGAAUCUCCCAAACCUGCCACGUAACAGCUCCACAUCAUGCUCAGGGGAUCACAUCCAGCCCUGAAUCGCAGAACUGGCACCUUGGGAAGUGCUCAGCUGUGAAAACUGACUGGCAGGACAGCUUUGCCAUGUGAAAAAAAAAAAAAAAAAGCUUUGACUUUCUUCUUUUUAAGAGGCUUUGUAAAUGGGAGCAGCUGAAUCGAGUCGCGGGCACAUUCAGCAGAUCGUCAGGGAGUACAAAGGCUGCAGUGCAACCUGUUGGUGCUUUAUGAAGUUGUUUUAGCAUGCUCCGUUGAGCUCUACGCUUACCUGCAUCAGAGAGAGGAACAGAGCGGUAGAAAGACGUUUUGGAGGCUGGCACCAACAGAGGGAAGAAUUAAAUAACGCUGUUGCAAAGGAUGGAAAAGGCUCAGAGGUGAUGCGAUGGCUCCAGGGGUGCUGACCUAUCCUUGCCCCACGUGGGGCUGCUGAGCAUCGUGCAGCUCUUGGUGCUGCUGCUGUGUGCACUCAGGUGCCAGCUCUGCCAAACCUUCUGCUGUCCUGUCCUCAUACCAUGUGUCCUCAUCAAAAAAAAACAGUGCAGCAAAACACAACAAGCAGUGUUAAAAAUGUGUUGCAGAUGUGGUAGUAACUCCCGGUUGCAAUAGGCAGAUGACUGUUUUUUCCUUGUUUCUGUCCUAAUAUUGGGUCCAGCUGAGACCAGGGUUUUACAUGUAACUACAGUGUCCCUGCCCUGCAGGUCAGGCACUGGUGAAACACAUGUCGGAAGAGAUGAAGAAACUUGUUCGGCAGCACGUGGUGCAGUCAGCGCCCUUCCCGUCUCCCAGAACCCCAACUCAUGGAGGCAGAACCAUCCUGUAGUUCUCUACCACAGAGAUCAUUUUGCUCUCAGACCUUCUGCUGACCCUGAACGACUUUUGUUCUUUGAGAGCUCUUUUAUUUCUCCCUCCUUCUCUCUCUCUCUCCUCUUUUUUUUCUGUUGUUGCUCAUAUUUUCCCCUCUCAUUAAUUAUACAGAUGUGCUGGGGGCCAUGUGCUUUGCCACAUCACAAAGGAAACCACAGGACUUCAGAUCAGAGGAUCUGCCAGAUGUCCUCGCCUGGCAGAGCACCGUGUGAGGGUCCUGGCUACAAGAGCAGGCUUGUCUGCAUCCAUGGGGCACAGCGGGGACAGCACCCAGCAAAGGGGCCACAUAGGAAACAAGCUUAGUGCAAGCACAGAGUAAGAGCUUUGGAUUACUUGAGUUCACUGCUGGGGUCUUUUUUCCCCCUUUAUUUGAGGCACUAACCCCCAGGAUUCCUUAAGACCACAGCUGCUCAUCUGUGCUUUGGUUGAACAUCACCUUAUUUCCUGACGAGCCCUUUACCCCUUGGUGCAGUUUGCAAUUUCAAGUCCAGAACUCAGACCUUCAGGACUGCUCCUGCUUGGGAAAAUGUGCUGUUUGUGUGUGGUUCACUUUGUUCUUAUGUAGUCCAUUCUUUGGAGUGUCAGUAAGAGUUAUUAAAGGCAAUGGCUU